Molecule: ribosomal RNA, 253 nt
Filed under: uncultured bacterium
Lineage: Bacteria
Description: partial 16S ribosomal RNA
Rfam family: Bacterial small subunit ribosomal RNA
Source: RNAcentral
UACGGAGGGGGCUAGCGUUGUUCGGAAUUACUGGGCGUAAAGCGCACGUAGGCGGACCAAAAAGUCAGAGGUGAAAUCCCAGGGCUCAACCUUGGAACUGCCUUUGAAACUCUUGGUCUUGAGUUCGAGAGAGGUGAGUGGAAUUCCGAGUGUAGAGGUGAAAUUCGUAGAUAUUCGGAGGAACACCAGUGGCGAAGGCGGCUCACUGGCUCGAUACUGACGCUGAGGUGCGAAAGCGUGGGGAGCAAACAGG